Molecule: long non-coding RNA, 1439 nt
Organism: Vespa crabro (European hornet)
Lineage: Eukaryota; Metazoa; Arthropoda; Insecta; Hymenoptera; Vespidae
Exons: 2
Source: RefSeq, a predicted model, not a curated record
AAUAGAAAGAGAGAGAGAGAGAGAGAGAGAGAGAGAGAGCAUAAUUAGAAUAAUAAUAAUAAUAAUAAUAAUAAUAAUAAUAAUAAUAAUAAACGAGGAAAGAGUACUCGAACGUUGUCUUUAUCAAUCUUUAAUAUAUUCGUAUAUAAUGAUUAAUAUUAUAUUUAACAAUUAUUAAAUAUUAAUGAUAUCUGAUUGAUCUUUAAUUGGAUAAAUUUGAUUAUAUUAUUCCAUUAACUGUAACGUUAUACCUCUACGUCAUCGUCGUCAUCGUCGUCGUUGUCGUCGUCGCCGUCUUACUAGAAAAUUCAUUGGGUGCUACGAAUAAUUAUGAAAACUUUAACCAUGAUUAUAUAUACAUAUGAGUGAGUGUGUGCGUAUGUGUGUGUGUGUGUGUGUGUGUGUUUGUGUACAUACAUACACAUAUAUAUGUAUAUGUGCGCAAAUACGUAUCCGUACUUCCUCGAACUUAAUAUCGAGUUUUCGCACUUUGAAACCGUGUAAAUAAUUUCGAGAGAACAUAUAUGAAAGAGAGAGAGAGAGAGAGAGAGAGAGAGAGAGAGAGAGAGAGAGAGAGAGAGAGAGAGAGAGAGAGAGAGAGAGAGAGAGAGAGAGAGAGAGAGAGACAGAGAAAGAGAGAGAGUGAGAGAGAGAAUGAGUUUCAAGUGUCUUAAUUAAGGAUAUGUAUCAAAAUAUUUACAAACAAAUAUACGUUCUUAAAUCUAAUCAAGUGUAUACCGUAUAAAUAAGAUAUAUAUUAUAAAAAGGUAUUGAAAAGUAUUGUAUAAUAAUAUAUAAAAUAUAUUAUAUUUUAUAUUAUUAUUUUUAUUAUUCUUGAAGUUCUCUAUCUCUCUCUCUCUCUCUCUCUCUCUCUCUCUCUCUCUCUCUCUCUCUCUUUCUCAUUCUCUUAUUAUCGUUAUCAUUGUCAUACUUAUUAGAAAAUGGAUCAAUGUUAUUGCUGUGUUUAUAAACAAAUUGUUUCUCUCUUUCAGACACAUAUACACGCAUACACACACUCACUCUCUCUCUCUCUCUCUCUCUCUCUUCGUCUCUGUCUCUGCCUCUGUCUCUCUCUCUCUCUCUCUCUCUCUCUCUCUUUCUCCCUCUCUUAUUGCCUUUAUCGUCCUUCCAGUGUAAUCUUAUUCGAAUCUACGAACCGGAACGUUAGCUGUUUAAAGUGAUCGUGGAAAACGUGAAUCUCCGUUAAAUUACAAUUAUUAUUUUCAAUAAUAGUUUAUUCGAUUGCAAUACGUGCGUUUAUAUGUAUAUACGUGUGUAUGUGUCUACGUGUACGCGUGUGUAUGUAUAUGUGCAUGUGUAAAAUUGUAUUUGAUAUAGUCAUGUUUUUCGGUUGUGGAAACUGUAAGAGAUGUAUGUUCUCGUACAAGAAGAAAUCGAACAACAUACCGUAUGGCUUAGACUCGAAAAAUAUCAAGUAA